This 344-nucleotide long non-coding RNA is filed under the name Lathyrus oleraceus (garden pea). RNAcentral's name for it is "Pisum sativum (pea) long non-coding RNA (PSAT_LNC007009)". Lineage: Eukaryota; Viridiplantae; Streptophyta; Magnoliopsida; Fabales; Fabaceae. The record is from RNAcentral.
GAAGUUAGAGGAAUUCUGAAGUUUGGUUUUGGUUAGAGGGAGUGUAUGAUGAGGUCGAUAGACUUGAAGGGAGUGAGGGUUCUAUUAUGAAAAAAUGGGAGAGGUUUGUUGAAAGGUUGUUACAAUUCUGUUAUAGAGAUAUUGAUUAGAGGUUUGUUAGAAUGAAGUUUAGAGUUUUUGCUCCAUUCUGUUUUGGAGUGAGAUUCUUCUGUUAUAAGGGUUUGUAUUUAUGUCUUUAUCAGUUGGAGGUGCGAUUUUGAAGAAGGUUACAAUUUCUUUCUCUUGAAGAGGUUAGGGAAUGGUUUUAACCGUUUUUGAGUUGGUUGUAAUUCAGUUAUAGGGAG